AUGCAAGUCGAACGGCAGCGCGGACUUCGGUCUGGCGGCGAGUGGCGAACGGGUGAGUAAUGUAUCGGAACGUGCCCAGUAGCGGGGGAUAACUACUCGAAAGAGUAGCUAAUACCGCAUACGCCCUACGGGGGAAAGGGGGGGAUCGCAAGACCUCUCACUAUUGGAGCGGCCGAUAUCGGAUUAGCUAGUUGGUGAGGUAAAGGCUCACCAAGGCGACGAUCCGUAGCUGGUUUGAGAGGACGACCAGCCACACUGGGACUGAGACACGGCCCAGACUCCUACGGGAGGCAGCAGUGGGGAAUUUUGGACAAUGGGGGAAACCCUGAUCCAGCCAUUCCGCGUGUGCGAUGAAGGCCUUCGGGUUGUAAAGCACUUUUGGCAGGAAAGAAAUCGCAUCAAUUAAUACUUGGUGUGGAUGACGGUACCUGCAGAAUAAGCACCGGCUAACUACGUGCCAGCAGCCGCGGUAAUACGUAGGGUGCAAGCGUUAAUCGGAAUUACUGGGCGUAAAGCGUGCGCAGGCGGUUCGGAAAGAGAGGUGUGAAAUCCCAGGGCUCAACCUUGGAACUGCACUUUUAACUACCGAGCUAGAGUAUGUCAGAGGGGGGUGGAAUUCCGCGUGUAGCAGUGAAAUGCGUAGAUAUGCGGAGGAACACCGAUGGCGAAGGCAGCCCUCUGGGAUAAUACUGACGCUCAUGCACGAAAGCGUGGGGAGCAAACAGGAUUA
Molecule: ribosomal RNA, 730 nt
Filed under: uncultured beta proteobacterium
Lineage: Bacteria; Pseudomonadati; Pseudomonadota; Betaproteobacteria
Description: bacterial SSU rRNA
Rfam family: Bacterial small subunit ribosomal RNA
Source: RNAcentral